This 71-nucleotide transfer RNA is filed under the name Drechslerella stenobrocha 248. RNAcentral's name for it is "tRNA-Ser (GCT) (tRNA-Ser-GCT-1-1)". It matches the Rfam family "tRNA". Rfam says of the family: Transfer RNA (tRNA) molecules are approximately 80 nucleotides in length. Their secondary structure includes four short double-helical elements and three loops (D, anti-codon, and T loops). Lineage: Eukaryota; Fungi; Ascomycota; Orbiliomycetes; Orbiliales; Orbiliaceae. The record is from RNAcentral.
GGCACUUUGGCGGAGUGGUUAACGCGCCAGCCUGCUAAAUUAGUGCGUGAGUUCGAAUCUCACAGGUGUCG